CCCUGGCUGGCUCAGUCGGUGGAGUGUGCGACUCCUGAUCUUGGGGUUGUGGGUUCGAGCCCCACGCUGAGUG
This 73-nucleotide transfer RNA is filed under the name Felis catus (domestic cat). It matches the Rfam family "tRNA". Rfam says of the family: Transfer RNA (tRNA) molecules are approximately 80 nucleotides in length. Their secondary structure includes four short double-helical elements and three loops (D, anti-codon, and T loops). The record is from Rfam by way of RNAcentral. Lineage: Eukaryota; Metazoa; Chordata; Mammalia; Carnivora; Felidae.